Molecule: ribosomal RNA, 464 nt
Filed under: uncultured bacterium
Lineage: Bacteria
Description: partial 16S ribosomal RNA
Rfam family: Bacterial small subunit ribosomal RNA
Source: RNAcentral
CUACGGGGCGCUGCAGUGGGGAAUAUUGCAAAAUGGGCGACAGCCUGCUGAAGACAUGCCGCGUGUAUGCAGAAGGCCUUCGGGUUGUAAAGUACUUUCAGCGGGGAUUAAGGGCGUAAAGUUAAGACCUUUGCUCAUUGACGUUAGCCGCAGAAGAAGCACCGGCUAACUCCGUGCCAGCAGCCGCGGUAAUACGGAGGGUGCAAGCGUUAAUCGGAAUUACUGGGCGUAAAGCGCACGCAGGCGGUUUGUUAAGUCAGAUGUGAAAUCACCGGGCUCAACCUGGGAACUGCAUCUGAUACUGGCAAGCUAGAGUCUCGUAGAGGGGGGUAGAAUUCCAGGUGUAGCGGUGAAAUGCGUAGAGCUCUGGAGGAAUACCGGUGGCGAAGGCGGCCCCCUGGACGAAGACUGACGCUCAGGUGCGAAAGCGUGGGGAGCAAACAGGAUUAGAUACCCCUGUAGUC